UCACUCCAUGUACGGCGCCGCAGGGACCGGGUCCCUGCGCCGGUUUCCGCUUCUCGUGGGUCCUGCGGCGGCGGCGGCGGCGGCGGCCAAGCGGCGUUCCCCAGGGAGUCGUUUCGGCACAAUUGACCAGUAUUGCUUACUGAUAAGAGACACUGGAGUGGUUCUGGUGAGAUGACAUGACCCUCGUGAAGGGGCCUGAAGCUUCAUUGUGCUUGU
This 216-nucleotide non-coding RNA is filed under the name Pongo abelii (Sumatran orangutan). The record is from RNAcentral. Lineage: Eukaryota; Metazoa; Chordata; Mammalia; Primates; Hominidae.